Non-coding RNA from Cinara cedri, 513 nucleotides. The record is from the annotation of a GenBank genome assembly. Lineage: Eukaryota; Metazoa; Arthropoda; Insecta; Hemiptera; Aphididae.
UUACUGUGUUAUUAAGAAGUUAUAGUUGGAUUUCUUUUUGUUUAGUUCCACUUACUGCAGCGAAAGUGCCCGCCCCCUUCCCCACAUCCCGAAGCGGUUUACAAGAGUCACAAAUAACAGGAUUAAUUCAAUUUAGUAUUCCGGUAUAUCCCUCUUGGAUUACAAACCUAUAAAGAGAGUCGUGUACAUACAUAUACCGUUGGCAAUGGACCAAUUUUAUUUUUAGCCACGAAGACACACACCCGGACCCUCCGUAAUAUCCGCUCGCUAGAGGCAGCAUUUUUAUUACUAGUUGGUUAUAGUUUUUCCAGACGCUUGAGCUCACGAUACACGCACGUUACCCUACUAUCUCCCGGUUAUACGCGCUUUAAAACACGUGUUCGGCCAGGGAGGGGAAGGGGAAUCUCUCAUUUAAUCCGCAUGAAUUCUGAUAAUUUUACCAUUUAGACCAUAGAGAAACGUUUACUAUAUGUUUCAACGAGAAAUCAACUGCUGAAAAAACUGCUUUUAUAC